Molecule: ribosomal RNA, 253 nt
Filed under: uncultured bacterium
Lineage: Bacteria
Description: partial 16S ribosomal RNA
Rfam family: Bacterial small subunit ribosomal RNA
Source: RNAcentral
UACAGAGGUCUCAAGCGUUGUUCGGAUUCAUUGGGCGUAAAGGGUGCGUAGGCGGCGCGGUAUGUCGGGUGUGAAAUCUCGGAGCUUAACUCCGAAACUGCAUUCGAUACUGCCGUGCUUGAGGACUGGAGAGGAGACUGGAAUUUACGGUGUAGCGGUGAAAUGCGUAGAUAUCGUAAGGAAGACCAGUGGCGAAGGCGGGUCUCUGGACAGUUCCUGACGCUGAGGCACGAAGGCCAGGGGAGCAAACGGG